This 305-nucleotide ribosomal RNA is filed under the name uncultured bacterium. RNAcentral's name for it is "bacterial SSU rRNA". It matches the Rfam family "Bacterial small subunit ribosomal RNA", at positions 337 to 634 of the family's 1533-position model. The record is from RNAcentral.
UCCUACGGGGCGCAGCAGUAGGGAAUCUUCCACAAUGGACGAAAGUCUGAUGGAGCAACGCCGCGUGAGUGAAGAAGGGUUUCGGCUCGUAAAGCUCUGUUGGUAGUGAAGAAAGAUAGAGGUAGUAACUGGCCUUUAUUUGACGGUAAUUACUUAGAAAGUCACGGCUAACUACGCGCCAGCAGCCGCGGUGAUACGUAGGGGGCAAGCGUUGUCCGGAUUUAUUGGGCGGAAAGCGAGUGCAGGCGGUGUAAUAAGUCUGGUGUGAAAGACUUCGGCUCAAACGGGGGAAUGCAUCAGAAAAG